CUCGGCCUUCCAAAGUGCUGGGAUUACAGGUGUGACCCAUCAUGCCUGGCCUGGUUUUGCCUCCUACUUCUCUGGCGAGUCUGUCUUGACUUCCCUGAUAGGUCCCAAGGCUCUGUGUAUAGCCCUCUUUUCUCUGCACAUUAUACACUCCCUGGGUUACAGACCUCAUCCAUUCCUGUGGCUUCCGUUAACCUCUCUGGGCUGAAGGAUUCCUGAACUGCUAUUUUCAGUCAGACCUUUCCUAAACUCCUGACCCAUAAAACUGAUGAACGGCCCCUUGGCCAUCUCCAUCUGGAUGUCCCUCAGGUAUCUCACCUUCAACAUUUCCACACCUCAGUGCCUCACCUUCCUCUUCAAUCUGCGGCUUCCCACUGUGUUCGCCGCCUUAGCUGAUGGCCAACUGGCAGCAGCCAACUGGCCACCCUUGGCUCCUCCUCCUCUCCUCAGUCAACCUUCUAGUAGUUUCUCCAGCCCAUGGCCUCCCCAGCUGUAGCUUGGGCUCCCCAGCAGUCUCCUUGUUAAUGACCCUCUCCCUUCUCAUCCAUUCUUUACACAGCUGCCCACGGCAUCUUUGUAAAGUGAAAAUUUGACUGUUUCUUUCUUGCUUAAAGUCUUUAAAAGGCUCCUUACUCUCUACCAGAGAAAUGCAAACUUCUGUGCCUGGCAUUUUAACUGGGCCCUGUUUACCUUACCUACCUUGUCUCUAGCACUCUGUCCUUGUUUUCCCUCUGCAAUCGAGCAGUACUGACCAGCUGCAGUUCCCUGAGCAUGCCAGCCUGUUUCAUGCCCUGUACUUUUAUACAUUAGGUUUCUACUGCCAGCCCCGCCACUCUGUUCACCUAGCACUUACUAACCCUUUGAAGGUUUGCUAACUACUGUUGAAUUAAAACUACUGUUGAAUUAAAUUAGUCAAUACAACAUUUCCCCUGACUUUGUGGGCUCUGGGAAUGGUUCAAGUGAACAUGACAAGGGCCCAUCCUCAAAGAGCCUAAAUCGAGUAAACCUGGAUGGCAGCUUUGGUCAAUGGAACCAAGAGCAUCAGAAACUAUAGUAGGCUGGGGCUGGGGGAAGGGGCGACAACAGCUGCAGGAAGGAAUUCCUAUCAACCCCUAAAAGGCAGUCAGUGGAGUGAAGUGACGGAGGAGGGGGAGACAGGGCUUCCAUGUAUGGCUGAUUGUACUUCAGUCAGCAGUUGCCUUCUGUUUUUUGGGCCAAGAAUGCCAUCAGAGGUGCCUCUCCAGGGAGACCAGAGAUCAAACAGGCCGCGAUGCUCACCCUCCCUCAGCGGCAUGGUCCCGUCCCUUGCGUGCUUCACUGAGACGGACCUCGCUCUUUUGGCCCUAGCUGCGUGGCAGUCAUUCAAGCUGCAGGAUCUAGAACUGGGCUGCCUGGGUUUGAAUCCUUGAUUCUCUCUCCCCAGCUGCAUGACCACAGGCAGAGAGCUCCAAGAGGGCACAUUCGGGUCUGGUCAUAGCUGUGCACUUGAAUCCCAUCAAGAGGCUGGAAUGGAGUAGAGGCCUCAGUGUACACGGCUGCAGGAGACUAGGUAGAAAGGUGAGCUGGACUCAUGGCCAGGUGCUAGCUAAUAUAGCCCCUGCAUGAGAGAAGAGAGGCCUCAUCCCCGGUUCAGUCCUUGGCUCCUCACGCUCUCUUGAUGGAGCAGGGCCCCUGAAAAGGUGGAAGUCAUCUUCUUCCGUGAUCGUAAGCAAUCCCUCGCCUGGUUCAAGAGCAAAUCCUAUGUGAAACAAAUCAGUGACCCUGCUGCACACCUGUGCUCCCAACGACAAAUCCCAAGGCUGCUGGAAUUAUCUGAGGCCCAAAUGACAAGACCCCGGCAGUCAUGCUGACAAGCCCUCCAAACCAUGCUUCAAUCAAGGACUGUCAUC
This 1886-nucleotide long non-coding RNA is filed under the name Homo sapiens (human). RNAcentral describes it as "HSALNT0363677". Lineage: Eukaryota; Metazoa; Chordata; Mammalia; Primates; Hominidae. The record is from RNAcentral.